Molecule: unclassified non-coding RNA, 154 nt
Filed under: soil metagenome
Description: partial contains small subunit ribosomal RNA, internal transcribed spacer 1, and 5.8S ribosomal RNA
Source: RNAcentral
UUUCCGUAGGUGAACCUGCGGAAGGAUCAUUAGAAAAUUCUCGCCAUAUUUAUGGCGUUAACAAUGUAUUCAAAAACAAAAAACUCGUUAAACCGAAAUAAAUUCAUUAAUAAAUAAAUAAUGAUAACUUUCAACAAUGGAUCUCUUGGCUCUC